This 578-nucleotide ribosomal RNA is filed under the name Trithemis cf. africana BM-2008. RNAcentral describes it as "partial 12S ribosomal RNA". The record is from RNAcentral. Lineage: Eukaryota; Metazoa; Arthropoda; Insecta; Odonata; Libellulidae.
AGAAAAUUAAUUAUUAUUAGUUUAUAGUUAUAUAUAUUUCUCCUUUAAAAUUAAAAUUAUUAGGUGAAAUUUUAAUUUUAUAAUAAUAAGUUUAUAAUUAAAGCUAUGAAAUCUAGAUAAUAAACAAGGAUUAGAUACCCUUUUAUUCUAGAUGUUAAUUUUAACUAGGGUAGUAAUAGUUAUGUUCUUGAAACCCAAAGAAUUUGGCGGUAUUUUAUUCUUUUUAGAGGAACCUGUCCUGUAAUUGAUAAUCCACGAUGAAGAGUUACUUAUUUUUGUUGUCAGUUUGUAUACCUCCGUCAUAAGAAUAUCUUUUUAGAGAAAAUAUUCUAUUAACACUAAAUGAGGAAUGUCAGGUCAAGGUGCAAUUUAUAAAUAAGUAGAGAUGGGUUACAAUAAAUGUAUUUAUAUAGAUUAUAAUUAUUAGUUAUUUAUAUGAAAGUGGAUUUAAAAGUAAAAUUAUUUACUUAUUAAUUUGAUUUAAGUUCUAAAAUAUGCACACAUCGCCCGUCGCUCUUAUUUUAAAAUAAGAUAAGUCGUAACAUAGUAGAUGUAUCGGAAGUUGUAUCUAGAAAGUA